AUCAUUCUUCUCUCUUUCUCUCCCCUCAACACCGUAGCACUGCUUCUCGCGACCACGCGAAGAGGGAGGAGGAGGCUAGCGACCACGCCGACAGGGGUGGGGGCGGCACGACACGACGGUGGUGGGGUCGUGCAUCGCGGCGGCGGUCGCCGUUGGCAUCAUGCUCGGCUGCUUGUGCACCUUCCUCUACCCCGAUGGGCUCCUCUCCUGCUGCUCCAACGCCGCCCUCCAUUGGCCUCGCCAGGUAAACCACCUCUGCACCUAUCUCCCCCAUCCCCGCCGGCGGUGGGCGUAGUGGCGCUACAGCAAGAACAGCCGCCGCCGGUGAUGGAGGUGGACUCGCCGGCGACCGGAGAUGAAGAAGAUGGAGGGAAUAUUGAAGCAAAGAAGACACAUCGCCAAGCAAAACGUGCAGCAUGACAGUCAAACAAAAGAUGUUGGAUGGUCUCUUGUGUAUUACAAAAUCAACAUUGCUUGUUUCCCCUCCAUUUUAUCUUCGUGAAGUUAUCUUUCAUCAAGAUUACUUUUUUUUGUCAAGAAACCACAUAAAUACUUUGAUUUUUAGUGGUA
Non-coding RNA from Oryza sativa Japonica Group (Japanese rice), 570 nucleotides. NCBI's taxonomy places the organism in Eukaryota, Viridiplantae, Streptophyta, Magnoliopsida, Poales, Poaceae. The record is from RefSeq and is a predicted model, not a curated record.